This is a long non-coding RNA of Pleuronectes platessa (European plaice), 924 nucleotides long. RefSeq lists it as uncharacterized. The transcript is spliced from 4 exons. The record is from RefSeq and is a predicted model, not a curated record. NCBI's taxonomy places the organism in Eukaryota, Metazoa, Chordata, Actinopteri, Pleuronectiformes, Pleuronectidae.
UUGGAUUAGCUAACUAGCAGCAUGAAUCAGUGGUCGGCUGCAAACAUGUCUUCAUGUGACUCCAGCUUCAGAAGACACAAGAUUGAGAUGGAUUGAGUUCAUAUAUGAUGGCAACGUUCCUGCCACCACUUUGAAUCUGACUUUUUUAUCAACCUGGGCCAAUAUAACGCUGGAUUCUCUAAAAGGUUGUUAUUGAAAGAGGGGUCGGUGCCAUCUUUCCAUGGCAAUACUGAAGACGAGGGAAAUGCAAGCACAUCUGUUCACGGUGCUAGGCUACAUCACGUAGCAUGCCAGGCGGACCCACCAAAGAUGCGCACACAUGGCACGCAGCUUUCUAUGAAAACACUGCGACCUCACUACAAAAGUACAGGCACACAGAAAACUGUGCUGCACUGAUGUCGGUGUUGGGACCUCAGCUGUAAGAGACCUUGCUUGGAGGAGGGAGAGGACAAGAUGUGACAUUACGUGGAUAACCUGUUGGACCUCAUCUUUCACGAGGUUUUUCAGGACCCGGCCCCAUAUGUGAAUGAGGUGCUGAAGAUCUCAAAACCUGAGGAUCUCUCUGCCUAGUAUGAGAAACCUGACAAGCAGGAAGUUAUAGCCAGCUAUGUGUCGAGUUUCAAUCAAGGGCAGGUCUGAACCCUGUAUAACUUCCCUGAGCAUCAGGGAACAUUCUGCGUAUCUGGAGCACCACGCAGGAGGGCAGGACCACCCUGAUUCUCCGGCCCAGAUAGCCUCAACACCAGCUCACAAAGCUUCUGUACGCCAAAUACCUGUAACGGCUGAGCAAAGUUUACAUUGUAUUUAGAGAAUAAAAGGUGACACACAAAUAUAAAGUGUUCCUUUGUUUACAGUAUAGCUGCUGAUGGCACAAAUUGUAUUUUUGUAAUGAAUGUAUUUAUUAUACUUGGUAUUUUUUUGUAU